CAAAUCCUAUUAUUUCAAAAACAAUUCAUAUUAAUGAGCUGAUCAGAUUUAUUUCCUCUCAUUCAGCCGCUGAUGAAAACCAGAAUCCACAGAGAAACAAGAACCUGGACUCUGGUGACUUGAAGGAUGCAGCACUGAGUUUGUAUUCACCAACAAUAAGAAACAGGAGGCCUGCAUCAGAGAGAGAAGAGGAGACUCAUGUUAUUUACACUGCCAGCAGAUAGACUCAGAGUGGAACUGAUGCUUUUAUCAUGUUCAUGUGCUGCUGUGGUUUUGUGUGCCUGGUUACUUUGACAAAAAGUCUGAUUUUACAAUAAAGAGCUUCUAUUCACGCAAA
Long non-coding RNA from Lates calcarifer (barramundi perch), 337 nucleotides. RefSeq lists it as uncharacterized. The transcript is spliced from 2 exons. Lineage: Eukaryota; Metazoa; Chordata; Actinopteri; Centropomidae. The record is from RefSeq and is a predicted model, not a curated record.